Molecule: ribosomal RNA, 496 nt
Filed under: uncultured bacterium
Lineage: Bacteria
Description: partial 16S ribosomal RNA
Rfam family: Bacterial small subunit ribosomal RNA
Source: RNAcentral
GACGAACGCUGGCGGCGUGCCUAAUACAUGCAAGUUGAGCGCUGAAGGUUGGUCCUUGUACCAACUGGAUGAGCAGCGAACGGGUGAGUAACGCGUGGGGAAUCUGCCUUUGAGCGGGGGACAACAUUUGGAAACGAAUGCUAAUACCGCAUAAAAACUUUAAACACAAGUUUUAAGUUUGAAAGAUGCAAUUGCAUCACUCAAAGAUGAUCCCGCGUUGUAUUAGCUAGUUGGUGGGGUAAAGGCUCACCAAGGCGAGGAUAAACACCCGCCCUGAGAGGUGAACGGCCAAAAUGGGACCUGGACCACGCCCAACACCCUAAGGGAGGGCACAGUAGGGAAACUUUGGCCAUUGACGAAAGUCUUACCGAACAAAGCCGGGGUAGGGGAGAAGGUUUUCGGAUCGGAAAACUCGGUUGGUAGAGAAAAACGUUGGUGGGAGUGGAAAGCUCAUCAAGUGACGGUAACUACCCAGAAAGGGACGGCUAACUACGUG